UCAUCUUAGUGGCGGACGGGUGAGUAACGCGUGGGGAACCUGCCCUGUACAGGGGGAGUAACACUUAGAAAUAGGUGCUAAUACCGCAUAACGGGGGGAGCCGCAUGGCACCCCCUGAAAACUCCGGUGGUACAGGAUGGGCCCGCGUCUGAUUAGCUGGUUGGCAGGGUAACGGCCUACCAAGGCGACGAUCAGUAGCCGGCCUGAGAGGGCGGACGGCCACACUGGGACUGAGACACGGCCCAGACUCCUACGGAAGGCAGCAG
RNAcentral lists this ribosomal RNA (266 nucleotides) under uncultured bacterium. RNAcentral's name for it is "partial 16S ribosomal RNA". It matches the Rfam family "Bacterial small subunit ribosomal RNA", at positions 87 to 354 of the family's 1533-position model. The record is from RNAcentral.